RNAcentral lists this ribosomal RNA (731 nucleotides) under uncultured bacterium. RNAcentral describes it as "bacterial SSU rRNA". It matches the Rfam family "Bacterial small subunit ribosomal RNA", at positions 771 to 1504 of the family's 1533-position model. The record is from RNAcentral.
AACGGGAUUAGAUACCCCGGUAGUCACGCUGUAAACGAUGUCUACUAGCCGUUGGAGGACUUGAUCCUUUAGUGGCGCAGCUAACGCGAUAAGUAGACCGCCUGGGGAGUACGGUCGCAAGAUUAAAACUCAAAUGAAUUGACGGGGGCCCGCACAAGCGGUGGAGCAUGUGGUUUAAUUCGAAGCAACGCGAAGAACCUUACCUACUCUUGACAUCCAGUGAACUUUUGAGAGAUCAAUUGGUGCCUUCGGGAACACUGAGACAGGUGCUGCAUGGCUGUCGUCAGCUCGUGUUGUGAAAUGUUGGGUUAAGUCCCGUAACGAGCGCAACCCUUGUCCUUAGUUACCAUCAUUAAGUUGGGGACUCUAAGGAGACUGCCGGUGACAAACCGGAGGAAGGCGGGGACGACGUCAAGUCAUCAUGGCCCUUACGAGUAGGGCUACACACGUGCUACAAUGGCAUGUACAAAGGGUUGCCAAGCCGCGAGGUGGAGCUAAUCCCAUAAAGCAUGUCGUAGUCCGGAUUGGAGUCUGCAACUCGACUCCAUGAUGUCGGAAUCGCUAGUAAUCGUGAAUCAGAAUGUCACGGUGAAUACGUUCCCGGGCCUUGUACACACCGCCCGUCACACCAUGGGAGUGGGUUGCUCCAGAAGUAGAUAGCUUAACCUUCGGGAGGGCGUUUACCACGGAGUGAUUCAUGACUGGGGUGAAGUCGUAACAAGGUAACCGUA